RNAcentral lists this ribosomal RNA (276 nucleotides) under Paenibacillus lautus. RNAcentral describes it as "partial 16S ribosomal RNA". It matches the Rfam family "Bacterial small subunit ribosomal RNA", at positions 555 to 832 of the family's 1533-position model. Lineage: Bacteria; Bacillati; Bacillota; Bacilli; Caryophanales; Paenibacillaceae. The record is from RNAcentral.
UGGGCGUAAGCGCGCGCAGGCGGUUCUUUAAGUCUGGUGUUUAAACCCGACGCUCAACUUCGGGUCGCACUGGAAACUGGGGAACUUGAGUGCAGAAGAGGAGAGUGGAAUUCCACGUGUAGCGGUGAAAUGCGUAGAUAUGUGGAGGAACACCACUGGCGAAGGCGACUCUCUGGGCUGUAACUGACGCUGAGGCGCGAAAGCGUGGGGAGCAAACAGGAUUAAAUACCCUGGUAGUCCACCCCGCCAACGAUGAAUGCUAGGUGUUAGGGGUUU